Non-coding RNA from Dovyalis caffra, 72 nucleotides. Lineage: Eukaryota; Viridiplantae; Streptophyta; Magnoliopsida; Malpighiales; Salicaceae. The record is from the annotation of a GenBank genome assembly.
UCCUCAAUAGCUCGGUGAUAGAGCGGUCGAGUCGUUAACCGGCCGGUCAUAGGUUCGAAUCCUACUGGGGAG